GAGGGUAUAGCUCAGUGGUAGAGUGUGUGCCUAGCAUGCAUGAGGUCCUGGCUUUAAUCCCCUGUACCUCCA
Molecule: transfer RNA, 72 nt
Filed under: Camelus bactrianus (Bactrian camel)
Lineage: Eukaryota; Metazoa; Chordata; Mammalia; Artiodactyla; Camelidae
Also listed under: 2 other names
Rfam family: tRNA
About the family: Transfer RNA (tRNA) molecules are approximately 80 nucleotides in length. Their secondary structure includes four short double-helical elements and three loops (D, anti-codon, and T loops).
Source: Rfam by way of RNAcentral